Molecule: ribosomal RNA, 491 nt
Filed under: uncultured bacterium
Lineage: Bacteria
Description: bacterial SSU rRNA
Rfam family: Bacterial small subunit ribosomal RNA
Source: RNAcentral
UGAACGCUGGCGGCGUGCCUAACACAUGCAAGUCGAACGGAGAUUAAGUGCUGAUGAAGCUUCGGCAGAAUCAUAUUAAUCUUAGUGGCGGACGGGUGAGUAACGCGUGGGCAACCUGCCUCAUACUGGGGGGAUAGCAGUUGGAAACGACUGAUAAUACCGCAUAAGCGCACAGCAUCGCAUGAUGCAGUGUGAAAAACUCCGGUGGUAUGAGAUGGGCCCGCGUCAGAUUAGCCAGUUGGCAGGGUAACGGCCUACCAAAGCGACGAUCUGUAGCCGGCCUGAGAGGGCGGACGGCCACAUUGGGACUGAGACACGGCCCAAACUCCUACGGGAGGCAGCAGUGGGGGAUAUUGCACAAUGGAGGAAACUCUGAUGCAAGCGACGCCGCGUGAGUGAAGAAGUAUUUCGGUAUGUAAAGUUCUAUCAGCAGGGAAGAUAAUGACGGUACCUGACUAAGAAGCACCGGCUAAAUACGUGCCAGCCGCCGC